Vitis riparia (riverbank grape) is the source of this 271-nucleotide long non-coding RNA. RefSeq lists it as uncharacterized. The record is from RefSeq and is a predicted model, not a curated record. Lineage: Eukaryota; Viridiplantae; Streptophyta; Magnoliopsida; Vitales; Vitaceae. The transcript is spliced from 2 exons.
UAUUACAGAAGCAGCUACCCUGGCAAAAGGUUCAUCACAUUGUCCAUGAAGCAAUGAAAAUUGAAACCCAGUUCGUUUGUGAAGCCCUACCUUGUGCAUUGAUUGGCAUGAACGCAACACUCAUGAGCCAGUACAUAAAAUUUGUCGCUAACCGCCUUUUGGUUGCCCUUGGGUAUGAGAGGAAAUACAACGUGGAAAAUCCAUUUGAUUGGAUGGAGUUUAUUUCUUUGCAAUGAGUAUUAAUGAGUGCAUGUCUUGGAUUUUGAUUUUA